GGGGUUGUGGCUCAGAGGUAGAGCGCUCACUUAGAGUGUGUGAGGCACUGGGUUCGAUCCCCAGCACCA
RNAcentral lists this transfer RNA (69 nucleotides) under Ictidomys tridecemlineatus (thirteen-lined ground squirrel). RNAcentral's name for it is "Spermophilus tridecemlineatus (thirteen-lined ground squirrel) tRNA". It matches the Rfam family "tRNA". Rfam says of the family: Transfer RNA (tRNA) molecules are approximately 80 nucleotides in length. Their secondary structure includes four short double-helical elements and three loops (D, anti-codon, and T loops). Lineage: Eukaryota; Metazoa; Chordata; Mammalia; Rodentia; Sciuridae. The record is from Rfam by way of RNAcentral.